UAGAUCCAGUACUUGCCAUCAUCUUGC
RNAcentral lists this non-coding RNA (27 nucleotides) under Rattus norvegicus (Norway rat). Lineage: Eukaryota; Metazoa; Chordata; Mammalia; Rodentia; Muridae. The record is from RNAcentral.